CAGCAGCCGCGGUAAUACAGAGGGUGCAAGCGUUAAUCGGAAUUACUGGGCGUAAAGCGCGCGUAGGUUGUUUGUUAAGUUGGAUGUGAAAGCCCCGGGCUCAACCUGGGAACUGCAUCCAAAACUGGCAAGCUAGAGUACGGUAGAGGGUGGUGGAAUUUCCUGUGUAGCGGUGAAAUGCGUAGAUAUAGGAAGGAACACCAGUGGCGAAGGCGACCACCUGGACUGAUACUGACACUGAGGUGCGAAAGCGUGGGGAGCAAACAGGAUUAGAUACCCCCGUAGUCCCUGUCUCUUAUAC
This 301-nucleotide ribosomal RNA is filed under the name uncultured bacterium. Its description in RNAcentral is "partial 16S ribosomal RNA". It matches the Rfam family "Bacterial small subunit ribosomal RNA", at positions 509 to 807 of the family's 1533-position model. The record is from RNAcentral.